Molecule: transfer RNA, 72 nt
Filed under: Phaeocystis antarctica
Lineage: Eukaryota; Haptophyta; Phaeocystales; Phaeocystaceae
Description: tRNA-Gly
Rfam family: tRNA
About the family: Transfer RNA (tRNA) molecules are approximately 80 nucleotides in length.
Source: RNAcentral
UUGGGUGUAUAUCAAUGGUAGAUUCUUAGCCUUCCAAGCUGAUUGUUACGAGUUCGACUCUCGUCAUCCACU